GCUGGGCGUGGUGGUGCAUGCCUGUAAUCCCAGCUACUCAGGAGGCUGAGGCAGGAGAAUUGCUUGAACCUGGGAGGUGGAGGUUGCAGUGAGCCGAGAUCAUGCCACUGCACUCCAGCCUGGGUGACAGAGAGAGACUCUGUCUCUA
Molecule: unclassified non-coding RNA, 148 nt
Organism: Macaca mulatta (Rhesus monkey)
Lineage: Eukaryota; Metazoa; Chordata; Mammalia; Primates; Cercopithecidae
Rfam family: Metazoan signal recognition particle RNA
About the family: The signal recognition particle (SRP) is a universally conserved ribonucleoprotein.
Source: Ensembl